This 553-nucleotide ribosomal RNA is filed under the name Phaeotremella fagi. RNAcentral's name for it is "partial large subunit ribosomal RNA". It matches the Rfam family "Eukaryotic large subunit ribosomal RNA", at positions 62 to 634 of the family's 3401-position model. Lineage: Eukaryota; Fungi; Basidiomycota; Tremellomycetes; Tremellales; Phaeotremellaceae. The record is from RNAcentral.
AAACUAACAAGGAUUCCCCUAGUAACGGCGAGUGAACCGGGAAGAGCUCAAAUUUGUAAUCUGGCCCUUGGGUCCGAGUUGUAAUCUAUAGAGGCGUUUUCCGUGCCGGACCGUGUCCAAGUCCCUUGGAACAGGGUAUCAAAGAGGGUGACAAUCCCGUACUUGACACGACGACCGGUGCUCUGUGAUACGUCUUCAACGAGUCGAGUUGUUUGGGAAUGCAGCUCAAAAUGGGUGGUAAAUUCCAUCUAAAGCUAAAUAUUGGCGAGAGACCGAUAGCGAACAAGUACCGUGAGGGAAAGAUGAAAAGCACUUUGGAAAGAGAGUUAAACAGUACGUGAAAUUGUUAAAAGGGAAACGAUUGAAGUCAGUCGUGUUGGUCGGAUUCAGCCUGGUCUCCGGGUGUAUUUCCUUCCAACGGGUCAACAUCAGUUUGGAUCGGUGGAUAAAGACGGAGGGAAGGUGGCAUCCUCGGAUGUGUUAUAGCCCUCUGUUGCAUACGCUGGUCCGGACUGAGGCAUGCAGCUCGCCUUUAUGGCCGGGGUUCGCCCAC